AAAUACGAUAGAGGAGCGGGAUUUAUCAGUAAUCUUUUGGAGCAAGACCAUGCAGUGAAUAAAGAUGAAAGGAAAUUUCGCCGAAGUGUAUUAAUGGUAAGUUAAUAUGCUGGGCAUGCAAACAAUAUUUGUAUGACUGUCACAAUAUGUGGGGAGCUAUCUAAAGU
RNAcentral lists this non-coding RNA (167 nucleotides) under Peptoniphilus grossensis. RNAcentral describes it as "Lysine sequence". It matches the Rfam family "Lysine riboswitch aptamer". Rfam says of the family: Riboswitches are metabolite binding domains within certain messenger RNAs that serve as precision sensors for their corresponding targets. Allosteric rearrangement of mRNA structure is mediated by ligand binding, and this results in modulation of gene expression. This family includes riboswitches that sense lysine in a number of genes involved in lysine metabolism, including lysC. Lineage: Bacteria; Bacillati; Bacillota; Tissierellia; Tissierellales; Peptoniphilaceae. The record is from RNAcentral.